GGCGGACGGGUGAGUAACACCUGGGAAACCUGCCUCCCACUGGGGGAUAACAGUCAUAAAUGACUGCUAAUACCUGCAUGAACACACAGCGCUGAAUGGAGCACCGAGAAAAACUCUCGGUGGUAUGAGAUGGACCCGCUUCCGAUUACCCAUUUGGUGGGGUAACGGCCUGCCAAGGGGACGAUCAGUAGCCGAUCUGAGAGGGUGACCGGUCGCCUUGGGACUGACACUCCGCCCAAACUCCUACGGGAGGCACUCGUGGGGAAUAUUGUUCAAUGGGGGAAACCCUGAUGCAGCGACGCCGUGUGAGCGAAAAAGAAUUUCGGUAUGCAAAGCUCUAUCAGCAGGGAAGAAAAUGACGGUUGCUGACUAAGAACCCCCGGAUAAGUACGUGUCAUCUGCCGCGGUAAUACAUAUGGGGCCAGCGUUAUCCGGAUUUACUGGUUGUAAAGGGAGCCCAUACUGAUGUGCUAGUCUGAAGUUGAAAAGGCGGGGGCUCAACCCCCGGGACUGCUUUGGAAACUGUGUAUCUAGAGUGCCGGAGAGGUAAGCGGGAAUUUCCCAGUGUAGCGGUGAAAUGCGUAGAUAUUGGGAGGAACACCAGUGGCGAAGGCGGCUUACUGGACGGUAACUGACGUUGAGGCUCGAAAGCGUGGGGAGCAAACAGGAUUAGAUACCAUGGUAGUCCACGCCGUAAACGAUGACUACUAGGUGUCGGGUGUCAUAGACAUUCGGUGCCGCAGCAAACGCAGUAAGUAUUCCACCUGGGGAGUACGUUCGCAAGAAUGAAACCCAAAGGAAUUGACGGGGACUCGCACAAGCGGUGGAGCAUGUGGUUUAAUUCGAAGCAACGCGAAGAACCUUACCAAGUCUUGACAUCCCGAUGACCGGCACGUAACGGUGCCUUCUCUUCGGAGCAUCGGAGACAGGUGGUGCAUGGUUGUCGUCAGCUCGUGUCGUGAGAUGUUGGGUUAAGUCCCGCAACGAGCGCAACCCCUAUCCUUAGUAGCCAGCGGUUUGGCCGGGCACUAUGAGGAGAUUGCCAGGGAUAACCUGGAGGAAGGCGGGGAUGACGUCAAAUCAUCAUGCCCCUUAUGAUUUGGGCUUCACACGUGCUACAAUGGGGUAAACAAAGGGAAGCGAGAGUGUGAGCUUAAGCAAAUCCCAAAAAUAACGUCCCAGUUCGGACUGCAGUCUGCAACUUGACUGCACGAAGCUGGAAUCGUUAGUAAUCGCGGAUCAGAAUGCCGCGGUGAAUACGUUCCCGGGUCUUGUUCACACCUCCCGUCACCCCAUGGGAGUCAGUAACUCCGGAAGUCAGUGACCGAACCGAAAGGACGGAGCUCCCGAAGGCGGGACGGAUGACUG
RNAcentral lists this ribosomal RNA (1368 nucleotides) under uncultured organism. RNAcentral's name for it is "16S ribosomal RNA". It matches the Rfam family "Bacterial small subunit ribosomal RNA". The record is from RNAcentral.